UAUUGGUCAAUAGCUUAACGGCUGAACCAGCAACUUGGAGGAAUGAAGAGGGAAAACUGGUAAAAGGUGAUGUACCUACAAGUAUUAGAAAUUAAUAUGAGAUUAACUAAGUUAAUUAAAAUUCUGAGCAGAUAUUUGAUUAUGACACUAUCUGUAUAGGUCUUGACCAAGUCACGUGCCAGCAGUCGCGGUAAUACGUGGAAGACAAGUGUUAUUCAUCUUUAUUGGGUUUAAAGGGUACCUAGACGGUUAAUUAAACAAUUAAAUGUACUAAUUAACUAGAGUUUAAUGUAAGAAAGUUGAGUACUGUUAGAGUAGAGAUAAAAUUCUAGGAUACUAUCAGGAACUGGUAAGAGCGAAGGCUACUUUCAAUGUAAAAACUGACGUUGAAGGACGAAGGA
Molecule: ribosomal RNA, 401 nt
Filed under: Ocellularia perforata
Lineage: Eukaryota; Fungi; Ascomycota; Lecanoromycetes; Ostropales; Graphidaceae
Description: SSU rRNA
Rfam family: Bacterial small subunit ribosomal RNA
Source: RNAcentral